CUGUCGCUAGCCUUUCAAAAGGUUGUGCACGCCCGAGUGCCCUCACACAUCCAUCUCACCCCUUUGUGCAUCACCGCGUGGGUCUCCUUUUGCAAAAGGAGCUCACGUUUUCACACAAAACUU
RNAcentral lists this ribosomal RNA (123 nucleotides) under Russula sp. 4 GL-2015. RNAcentral describes it as "partial 18S ribosomal RNA". The record is from RNAcentral. Lineage: Eukaryota; Fungi; Basidiomycota; Agaricomycetes; Russulales; Russulaceae.